AGUGUGAGGCGGGAGGACGUUCCUGCGACAGUCCUGGAGGGGUGAGCCUCAUGCGUCCUGCUCGUAAGUGUCCGUCUGUUUUAUUGCCAACUCUGUGGAACCUUUUAGCUUUAGGAGUUGGGAACCUGUGUGGGUUUGAAAAAGCUGCGUGAUUUGUGUUCUUGACACUCAUCGGGGCGACUUGGGCAGUGCUGUUGUGAUAAGGGCUGGUGGGACCUGGUGUGGCCUGAGGGAGAAGAUGGAUUAGAGCUCCCUCAGCAGGGAGUGUCUCCUGAGUGAUGGGGGCGGCCAAGGGUCCCUUACUGCCUGCUCCCUCCCCAUCAGUCGGCACUCAGCCCAGGGCGGACCCAUGUGGGCAGGCAGACUCUACCACUGCCGUGCCCCUGCCUGCCACCCAGGAAGGAGAGAGCAGGGAGCAGAAGCAGUGGCAGGGCUGCCCCAGCAGGUGAGCAAAGACCUCCAGUGGUUUUCUUUCCUGUUUCAGAAGUGCCCUUGUGCUGUGCUGUGCCAUGUUUCACCUGUUUGCCCUCUUGUCCAGUCCACACCCUGGCCUACCUGCCGAGCCCUGGAGGCUAUGCUGCACCUGCUGUGUCAUUGCGCCCCUUGCCUCUGGGAGAUAACCUGAUCAUCAUUUGACAACUGAGAAAACUACAGCUCAGACAAGUUGGCUAUGUGAUGGACUAGAAACCCAUGUGUCUUCUCUCAAGAGAACCCCAUAGGUUUGAGGAGAGAAUUAAACCUCUAAUGAGCAGCAUACCAGUGAGUGACCAGACCCAUGAAACAAGACAUUGGAGGGUGGAUUCUCUGAUUUUUCUACAUAAAUGCUCUCCAAUGGAAGCAAGUAACAUUUUUUAUUGUUACAUAAAGACAUCAUUCUGCAUCAUUCGUGUCAACAAUAUUUUUUGUGUCGAGGGGAAGGGCAAGGUAUUUUUGUUGUGGACCUGCUCUUAUCUCAGAGCGUGCUGGGUAUGACCUGCACAGUAAGGAGAAAGGAUCUAGAAGUUGUCCUAACUGAACUCUGUCAAAGUCUGGGUGAGGAGCUUUGGAGUUUGGGGUGGGGGAGGCAAUGAAGCCAAAUACAGAAAAACAAAAUGAAGAAAGCAUAUUUUUAGCACUUCUCUGACGAUGUGAAUCACUAGCUGUGGAGGAAGGUUCAGGACUCUGUAUUUUUUCAAAUGUGCCCUGGAAUUCCAAGGCAGACAAACCAAGCCUGGUAACCACUAGAGAACUGGAAAGAAUGUGGAUUCUAAGUUUGAGUUUCAAUUCAGCCUGUGUUCUCUAGAAAGCUGAUCUUGAGACAAAAAUCCCAAGAGGGGGAGCUUUCUUAGGGAAUGUGGUCUCAAAGGGAGUCAAAAAGAGUGGGGAAUGAAGCAGGAAUGAGCGAUGAGGAGCCAAUGCAAGGGUGCUUGGGCCGAUCCAGUUCUGUACUACAAUUUAAGAAGCCACAUGAAAUAAACCUUGGGACCCUCCACUGGGGAAAUCCA
Molecule: long non-coding RNA, 1484 nt
Filed under: Oryctolagus cuniculus (rabbit)
Lineage: Eukaryota; Metazoa; Chordata; Mammalia; Lagomorpha; Leporidae
Description: lncRNA (ENSOCUG00000030167.1)
Source: RNAcentral